This is a long non-coding RNA of Drosophila navojoa, 415 nucleotides long. NCBI's taxonomy places the organism in Eukaryota, Metazoa, Arthropoda, Insecta, Diptera, Drosophilidae. The record is from RefSeq and is a predicted model, not a curated record.
CAGCCAGCCAGCUAGCCAGUCAAACAGGCAGCAGCAACAGAGCCCAGACACGGAGCCGUGUUAUGUGUUGCUAGAGUCACUCGGGCCAGCAGCGAGCGAGCUACUGUCGUUCUUUGUAUUGAUUCAGAUUCAGUCGAUGAGUUUCUCUCGCUUCUGCGCGUUGCGUGUUUCGCAGUGUUUCCGCGAUUUUUUCGUUGUCGUCAUCGUUGCCGCGUCUGCGUGUUCGCCUCGUCUCGUCUCGUCAUACAUUCUCUCUCUGCUCACCCCCCCACACACACACUCUUCGCAAGCUCGACGUGCGGGACUCUGUGCGAUUGUUUUGCGUGCGUGCGUGUGUGUGAGUGUGUGCCCACUCAUAUAUAAAUCUUUUAUUUUCUCAACAUAUAAUGUGAAGUGCGAACGGCAAAAGAAAAAA